UACAUAGGGUGCUAGCGUUGCUCGGAAUUACUGGGCGUAAAGCAUGUGUAGGAGGAUCUGUAAGUCAAAAGUGCAAUCCCUAGGCUCAACCUAGGAACUGCUUUUGAUACUACAGAUCUAGAGUGAGAUAGAGGGUAGCGGAAUUCUUAGUGUAGGGGUAAAAUCCGUAGAUAUUAAGAGGAACACCAAAAGCGAAGGCAGCUAUCUAGGUCUUUACUGACUCUGAGACAUGACAGCGUGGGGAGCAAACAGG
Molecule: ribosomal RNA, 253 nt
Filed under: uncultured bacterium
Lineage: Bacteria
Description: partial 16S ribosomal RNA
Rfam family: Bacterial small subunit ribosomal RNA
Source: RNAcentral